UACGAAGGGUGCAAGCGUUAGUCGGAAUUACUGGGCGUAAAGCGUGCGUAGGUGGUCUCUUAAGUCCGUUGUGAAAGCCCUGGGCUCAACCUGGGAACUGCAGUGGAUACUGAGAAGCUAGAGUGUGUCAGAGGAUGGUGGAAUUCCCGGUGUAGCGGUGAAAUGCGUAGAGAUCGGGAGGAACAUCAGUGGCGAAGGCGGUUCUCUGGGACGGUACUGACGCUGAGACGCGAAAGCGUGGGGAGCGAACAGG
This 253-nucleotide ribosomal RNA is filed under the name uncultured bacterium. Its description in RNAcentral is "partial 16S ribosomal RNA". It matches the Rfam family "Bacterial small subunit ribosomal RNA", at positions 524 to 776 of the family's 1533-position model. The record is from RNAcentral.